RNAcentral lists this transfer RNA (72 nucleotides) under Stegodyphus dumicola. RNAcentral describes it as "tRNA-Glu". It matches the Rfam family "tRNA". Rfam says of the family: Transfer RNA (tRNA) molecules are approximately 80 nucleotides in length. Their secondary structure includes four short double-helical elements and three loops (D, anti-codon, and T loops). The record is from RNAcentral. Lineage: Eukaryota; Metazoa; Arthropoda; Arachnida; Araneae; Eresidae.
UCCCAUGUGGUCUAGUGGUCAGGAUACGUGGCUUUCACCCACGUGGCCCGUGUUCGAUUCCCGACAUGGGAA